GCUGUCCGUCAACCGCCUCAUAUAUAGUGCAUGCAAGAAAAUGUGGAGCAGUUCAAUAACUUGUGUCGUCGCCAGACUUGUGUGUGCGCGUGUGUGUGUGAAGGAAGUGGGGGGUGCAUGCAUGUGGGAAUGCAUGUGCUUGUUUAUCUGUGUAAAAGCACGGAAGGAACGGGAGGUAGGGAGGGCGAGAGAGGGGGAGAGAUUUGUAAGGCACUUGUAUUUGCAAACUACUGGCUGAGUUCCCACUAGAGGCAGAGAGAUCACGCUGAAAGACUGCGUGUCAGGAGUGUGUGUGUGUGUGUGGGAGAGACAUGCAGACAGUGAGCGAGAGGAACCCGUUCAACUCAUUUCAGCAGUGAAUUCUCAGCCAGUCUAAAUGAGCUUUCUCCUCACAUAUGGAAGCUUUUUGCUCUCGCGUUUGAUUUUUCCCUCCUAACGUCGCCACAGUUUCACGCUGCCGCUGAACUUUUGGUCGCACUUGACGCUGAACGUGACAGCAGCGCCGGCUCAGCGCAGACACUCCAGUUUGCUCGGUAGUUUAGUGAAAACGAAGACGAUGGCGCUCAUCGUGUCUGCGGGGCUAUUAAAGGAAACCACAACCUUUGCAUCACCGCCUCUCCUCGCUCGCUCCUGCCGGCUUCUCGUCACCGUCACUCGAGAUUGCACGCCAACAAGGGUGGUAACGUGCUUUGGCAUGGAGGCGCUCCACGCAGGCCAAGACAAACACAGCAGCGCACACUGACAGACACCGAGGCUUGUGAAACAGCACAGCUUGUCGUUUUUGUGGGAAAUUACCUUCAAAGUUAAUAUUUCUCACCUUUAUAACCACAUAACACAGAAACGACUGGCACACCUGACGUUAGAGCAGUUUUAGGGAAGACGUGUGUCUGUGUGAGACAAAUAUGGAUUUU
Haplochromis burtoni (Burton's mouthbrooder) is the source of this 911-nucleotide long non-coding RNA. RefSeq lists it as uncharacterized. The transcript is spliced from 2 exons. The record is from RefSeq and is a predicted model, not a curated record. NCBI's taxonomy places the organism in Eukaryota, Metazoa, Chordata, Actinopteri, Cichliformes, Cichlidae.